Molecule: transfer RNA, 90 nt
Filed under: Holosporaceae bacterium
Lineage: Bacteria; Pseudomonadati; Pseudomonadota; Alphaproteobacteria; Holosporales; Holosporaceae
Description: tRNA-Ser
Rfam family: tRNA
About the family: Transfer RNA (tRNA) molecules are approximately 80 nucleotides in length. Their secondary structure includes four short double-helical elements and three loops (D, anti-codon, and T loops).
Source: RNAcentral
GGAAGGAUGACAGAGUGGUCGAAUGUGGCGGUCUCGAAAACCGUUGUGCGGGCAACCGCACCGUGGGUUCGAAUCCCACUCCUUCCGCCA